UCCUAUCUUUCAGCAGAGAACUAAACAUGUUGACAUGAAUUGUCGUUUUGUAAGAGAGAAUAUUUAAGAGAAGCUCAUUCAGACACUACAUAUUGGCACAAAAGAAUAGACGACAGAUCUACUGACUAAGAGUUUGUGCAAGCCCCAAUGUGACUAUUUGAUUGACAAGCUAGGGAUGAGAAGCCUGUUUUCAUCCAUUAGCUUGAGGGGGAAUGCAGAAGAAUGUGGGGCCAGAUGCUGUGUAGCUUAAUCUAUUUAACAAUGAACUUAGGUAGUUAAUGAGGAUUAGUUAAAAUAGAUUAGUCAGAAC
Molecule: long non-coding RNA, 310 nt
Filed under: Capsicum annuum
Lineage: Eukaryota; Viridiplantae; Streptophyta; Magnoliopsida; Solanales; Solanaceae
Description: long non-coding RNA (CANN_LNC012451)
Source: RNAcentral